UACGAAGGGUGCAAGCGUUAAUCGGAAUUACUGGGCGUAAAGCGCGCGUAGGUGGUUCAGUAAGUUGGAUGUGAAAUCCCCGGGCUCAACCUGAGAACUGCAUCCAAAACUGCUGAGCUAGAGUACGGUAGAGGGUGGUGGAAUUUCCUGUGUAGCGGUGAAAUGCGUAGAUAUAGGAAGGAACACAGUGGCGAAGGCGACCACCUGGACUGAUACUGACACUGAGGUGCGAAAGCGUGGGGAGCAAACAGG
This 252-nucleotide ribosomal RNA is filed under the name uncultured bacterium. RNAcentral's name for it is "partial 16S ribosomal RNA". It matches the Rfam family "Bacterial small subunit ribosomal RNA", at positions 524 to 776 of the family's 1533-position model. The record is from RNAcentral.